This 1071-nucleotide long non-coding RNA is filed under the name Phaseolus vulgaris (common bean). RNAcentral describes it as "long non-coding RNA (PVUL_LNC004588)". The record is from RNAcentral. Lineage: Eukaryota; Viridiplantae; Streptophyta; Magnoliopsida; Fabales; Fabaceae.
AUGUGCUUUAAUGCAUUUGAUAAAGCUGCUAACCUUGAUGUCUUGGACCAUCCCAUUCUGAAUUUUAUAUAUUACCUGGUGAGUUUGUAUGUUUGUUUGUAUUUCUUCAUUGUGGUACUUUGUUUUUUCUAUAUUCCCCACUUUUUCUCAUUGUUGUGCUGUUCAAGUUAUAUCAUUUCUAUAUUUAGGUCUAUUUUGGGCUUAUAUGGUUAAUCUUGGUUUGAGAUUAAUUCUGAAAGCUGACACAUUCCCUACUUAAAUUUUGUUGGACACUGUUAAAUUACAUGCAUUGGUUUUAUGAACCUAUAUAAAUUCGUCUUUUCUUUUUGGCACAUAAUUUUAGGCGAUAGAUUUGAUAAAUUGGAUAACCAAGUAAUUAUUGCUGUUUCAAAUCCUCCUAUUCAUGUUGUUAGGGGUUGAUAUCCUGAUAAACUUUUCAACUUCUGGUGGAAUUCUUUCUCUUGGAAAAAAAACGGCUAAUUAAUUUUCUGAAGUCAAUUAAAAAGGAACUGAAAUGAUUUAGGUAGAUAUUUUACGUUUGCUCUCAAGGGUAAGUAAUAAAAAAAAGGGGGUCCUAGGUCAUUUACCUCAUCCUUUUCACAUUUUUGUGCAGAUGGUGGAAAUAUUGCCUUCUUCUUUGGUCCUUUUCAUUUUGAGGAAGCUGCCACCCAAGCGUGGUAUCACACAAUAUCAUCCCAUUCGCUGAAAAGAUAGCAUGUGAAGAAAACUAAGUCAGUAUUUCCUUGGUGGUUCUCUGAUUUCUUUGAAGUUUCUCACACCCGAGGGAUAAUUUCUAGAGGACACAGAAGUCAGUCUUUCUUCUGUUGAGUGACAAAGCUAAUAUCAUUGUUUUAAAGUUCUCCUAAGGUUUGUAGGUUUUCAAACGUGACAUUUAAUGGAUUGUCAAACGUGGUGGAUUGUGUUAUGUAAGUGAUAUUUUGCAUUGUCUCUAGGAAAAUGUGGUUGCCGUUUCAGUCAGAUUCCACAAUUCAACACAAUGAGUGAGCAACCUUUUUUGGGAGAAAAGGACACUGAUAUAAAUUAUUGUAUAAUAGCUUUUAAGUCUUGUAA